Acanthosepion pharaonis is the source of this 96-nucleotide non-coding RNA. Lineage: Eukaryota; Metazoa; Mollusca; Cephalopoda; Sepiida; Sepiidae. The record is from the annotation of a GenBank genome assembly.
AAAACACCAGCUCUGGUACGAUUAGCAAAGUUAAGCAACGUCGAGCCUAGUCAAUACCUAGAUGGGUGACCGCUUGGGAAUACCAGGUGCCGUAAG